GAGCAAGAACGUGUAAUAUAAAUGACGUAAAUACUUGCAUUGAAGGUUGGCAAUAACAAAGAAGCGAUUCUCCGUGCCUGUCAGAGUCAUUUCAUUUUGAUUAGGCCUCGAACAAGUCGCUACAUU
Daucus carota subsp. sativus is the source of this 126-nucleotide non-coding RNA. The record is from Rfam. NCBI's taxonomy places the organism in Eukaryota, Viridiplantae, Streptophyta, Magnoliopsida, Apiales, Apiaceae.